This 484-nucleotide ribosomal RNA is filed under the name uncultured bacterium. RNAcentral describes it as "partial 16S ribosomal RNA". It matches the Rfam family "Bacterial small subunit ribosomal RNA", at positions 30 to 507 of the family's 1533-position model. The record is from RNAcentral.
AUUGAACGCUGGCGGCAGGCCUAACACAUGCAAGUCGAGCGGAUGAAGGGAGCUUGCUCCUGGAUUCAGCGGCGGACGGGUGAGUAAUGCCUAGGAAUCUGCCUGGUAGUGGGGGAUAACGUCCGGAAACGGGCGCUAAUACCGCAUACGUCCUGAGGGAGAAAGUGGGGGAUCUUCGGACCUCACGCUAUCAGAUGAGCCUAGGUCGGAUUAGCUAGUUGGUGGGGUAAAGGCCUACCAAGGCGACGAUCCGUAACUGGUCUGAGAGGAUGAUCAGUCACCAUGGAACUUAGACACGGGCCCGGCUUCUUAGGGAGGCCGCAGUUGGGAAUAUUGGACCAUGGGCGGAAGCCUUAUCCAGCCCUGGCGGCUGGUUGAAGGAAGUCUUUCGGUUUGUAAGCCAUUUUAGGUGGGAGGAAGGGCAGUUAGUUAAUACCUUGCCUGUUUGACGUUACCAACAGAAUAAGCACCGGCUAACUUCGUG